GAGAAACAGAAAACAAACCAGUUUUUGCUUCGCAUUAUUAGCUAUGUCGUCGUCGGAGACAGUUCCGGAGUCGCCGGAAUCUGAUUUAACUCAAAUCAAUUUCGAUGAAACUGAGCUCACCUUGGGACUUCCGGGAGCUGAAUUCCGGCCAACUGAUCACAAACCCAAUGCCAAACGUUGUUUCCAUGACACUGUUGAUGCUGGUGCCGGGAGCUCGACAAGCGAACCGCGUGAUGUUCACG
This 242-nucleotide unclassified non-coding RNA is filed under the name Hevea brasiliensis (rubber tree). Lineage: Eukaryota; Viridiplantae; Streptophyta; Magnoliopsida; Malpighiales; Euphorbiaceae. The record is from RNAcentral.